UGAGUCCGCCGGGCGACCGCGGUCGGCCAUCCCCGGUCUGACCGGGGUGAACCGGUCGAGGAAAGUCCGGGCUCCACAGGGCAGGGUGGUUGCUAACGGCAACCCGGCGUGAGCCGCGGGAUAGUGCCACAGAGAACAGACCGCCAGGCACCCUCGGGUGCCCGGUGAGGGUGAAACGGUGGUGUAAGAGACCACCAGCGCCCCGGGUGACCGGGGCGGCUCGGUAAACCCCACCCGGAGCAAGGUCGAAAAGCCACGUCCGGAACGGACGGGGUGCGCAGGCGUUCGAGGGCAGCCCGCCCGAGCCUGCGGGUGGACCGCUGGAGCGUGCCGGCAACGGUACGUCGAGAUGGAUGGUCGCCGAACGGGAUCGCCGCGAGGCGCCCGUGAACAGAACCCGGCUUACAUGGCGGACUCAUCCC
Non-coding RNA from Nakamurella multipartita DSM 44233, 422 nucleotides. It matches the Rfam family "Bacterial RNase P class A". From Rfam's summary of the family: Ribonuclease P (RNase P) is a ubiquitous endoribonuclease, found in archaea, bacteria and eukarya as well as chloroplasts and mitochondria. The record is from Rfam. NCBI's taxonomy places the organism in Bacteria, Bacillati, Actinomycetota, Actinomycetes, Nakamurellales, Nakamurellaceae.